GCCGAGAUAGCAAAGCCAGGUAAUGCGCCGGACUUGAGAUCCGGUGGGCAGUCGCCCGCAUGGGUUCGAAUCCCAUUCUCGGCG
Molecule: transfer RNA, 84 nt
Filed under: Methanosphaera stadtmanae
Lineage: Archaea; Methanobacteriati; Methanobacteriota; Methanobacteria; Methanobacteriales; Methanobacteriaceae
Also listed under: 2 other names
Description: tRNA-Ser
Rfam family: tRNA
About the family: Transfer RNA (tRNA) molecules are approximately 80 nucleotides in length. Their secondary structure includes four short double-helical elements and three loops (D, anti-codon, and T loops).
Source: RNAcentral